AUUGAACGCUGGCGGCAGGCCUAACACAUGCAAGUCGAGCGGAUGAAGGGAGCUUGCUCCUGGAUUCAGCGGCGGACGGGUGAGUAAUGCCUAGGAAUCUGCCUGGUAGUGGGGGAUAACGUCAGGUAACGGGCGCUAAUACCGCAUACGUCCUGAGGGAGAAAGUGGGGGAUCUUCGGACCUCACGCUAUCAGAUGAGCCUAGGUCGGAUUAGCUAGUUGGUGGGGUAAAGGCGUACCAAGGCGACGAUCCGUAACUGGUCUGAGAGGCUGAUCAGUCACACUGGAACUGAGACACGGUCCAGACUCCUACGGGAGGCAGCAGUGGGGAAUAUUGGACAAUGGGCGAAAGCCUGAUCCAGCCAUGCCGCGUGUGUGAAGAAGGUCUUCGGAUUGUAAAGCACUUUAAGUUGGGAGGAAGGGCAGUAAGUUAAUACCUUGCUGUUUUGACGUUACCAACAGAAUAAGCACCGGCUAACUUCGUG
Molecule: ribosomal RNA, 484 nt
Filed under: uncultured bacterium
Lineage: Bacteria
Description: partial 16S ribosomal RNA
Rfam family: Bacterial small subunit ribosomal RNA
Source: RNAcentral